RNAcentral lists this ribosomal RNA (433 nucleotides) under uncultured bacterium. Its description in RNAcentral is "partial 16S ribosomal RNA". It matches the Rfam family "Bacterial small subunit ribosomal RNA", at positions 29 to 507 of the family's 1533-position model. The record is from RNAcentral.
AACGAACGCUGGCGGCAUGCCUAACACAUGCAAGUCGAACGAGACCUUCGGGUCUAGUGGCGCACGGGUGCGUAACGCGUGGGAACCUGCCCUUAGGUUCGGAAUAACUCCCCGAAAGGGGUGCUAAUACCGGAUAAUGUCUUCGGACCAAAGAUUUAUCGCCUUUGGAUGGGCCCGCGUUGGAUUAGCUAGUUGGUAGGGUAAAAGCCUACCAAGGCGACGAUCCAUAGCUGGUCUGAGAGGAUGAUCAGCCACACUGGGACUGAGACACGGCCCAGACUCCUACGGGAAGCAGCAGUGGGGAAUAUUGGACAAUGGGCGAAAGCCUGAUCCAGCAAUGCCGCGUGAGUGAUGAAGGCCUUAGGGUUGUAAAGCUCUUUUACCCGGGAUGAUAAUGGCAGUACCGGGAGAAUAAGCUCCGGCUAACUCCGUG